RNAcentral lists this ribosomal RNA (424 nucleotides) under uncultured bacterium. RNAcentral's name for it is "bacterial SSU rRNA". It matches the Rfam family "Bacterial small subunit ribosomal RNA", at positions 954 to 1392 of the family's 1533-position model. The record is from RNAcentral.
GCAGAACGCGAAGAACCUUACCCAGGUUUGACAUCUUCGGAAGGCUUCCGAAAGGAAACUGUGCCGUAAGGAACCGAAUGACAGGUGAUGCAUGGCCGUCGUCAGCUCGUGUCGUGAGAUGUUUGGUUAAGUCCAUCAACGAGCGCAACCCUUAUAGUUAGUUGUAUUUUUCUAGCUAGACUGCCCUGGUAACAGGGAGGAAGGGGGGGAUGAUGUCAGGUCAGUAUUUCCCUUACAUCUGGGGCUACAAACACGCUACAAUGGCCGGUACAAAGGGCAGCCAAGUCGCGAGACGGAGCAAAUCCCAUCAAAGCCGGUCCCAGUUCGGAUAGCAGGCUGAAACUCGCCUGCUUGAAGCCGGAAUCGCUAGUAACGGUAGGUCAGCACACUACCGUGAAUACGUUCCCGGGUCUUGUACACACCG